RNAcentral lists this small RNA (54 nucleotides) under Arabidopsis thaliana (thale cress). Its description in RNAcentral is "ATSL233810". The record is from RNAcentral. Lineage: Eukaryota; Viridiplantae; Streptophyta; Magnoliopsida; Brassicales; Brassicaceae.
GAGAAACCUCAUGAUGAUUACGGAAUGGAGAACAAACGGCUGGUGAUGGAGUUA